GAAAAUCGACAAAUUUUCCCAACACUGGUGAUAACAUCCAGCCUCAGUGCACACACUUCAGUUAUUCCAAAAAAAUGGCGGAUGUCGACUUGAAUAUCGACAGCUUGAUAGAAAGAUUACUUGAAGUGCGAGGAUGUCGUCCUGGAAAAUCAGUUAUAAUGACAGAAGCAGAAGUACGUGGUUUAUGUUUAAAAAGUCGUGAAAUUUUUUUACAACAACCAAUACUACUUGAGCUUGAAGCACCAUUAAAAAUAUGUGGUGAUAUACAUGGACAAUACACUGAUUUAUUGAGAUUAUUUGAGUAUGGUGGUUUUCCACCAGAAUCAAAUUAUUUAUUUCUCGGUGAUUAUGUUGACAGAGGAAAACAAUCACUUGAAACAAUAUGUCUAUUGCUUGCAUAUAAAAUUAAAUAUCCAGAAAAUUUUUUUUUACUACGUGGUAAUCAUGAAUGUGCAAGUAUCAAUAGAAUAUAUGGUUUUUAUGAUGAAUGUAAACGCAGAUAUAAUAUUAAAUUAUGGAAAACAUUUACUGAUUGUUUCAAUUGUCUACCAAUUGCUGCAAUUAUUGAUGAAAAAAUUUUUUGUUGUCAUGGUGGUCUAAGUCCAGAUUUACAGGGAAUGGAACAAAUAAGAAGAAUUAUGAGACCAACUGAUGUACCAGAUACUGGAUUACUUUGUGAUCUUUUAUGGUCUGAUCCUGAUAAAGAUGUUCAGGGCUGGGGAGAAAAUGAUAGAGGUGUAUCAUUCACAUUUGGUCCAGAUGUUGUAUCAAAAUUUUUAAAUCGUCAUGAUAUGGAUUUAAUAUGCCGAGCUCAUCAAGUUGUUGAAGAUGGAUAUGAAUUUUUUGCAAAACGACAACUUGUUACAUUAUUUUCAGCACCAAAUUAUUGUGGUGAAUUUGAUAAUGCUGGUGGUAUGAUGAGUGUUGAUGAAAAUCUCAUGUGCAGUUUUCAGAUUCUUAAACCAUCUGAGAAAAAAGCCAAGUAUCAGUAUGGUGGUAUGACUGGUGUACAAACAAGUAGACCAGCAACACCACAAAAAAAUUCAAGCAAUAAAAAAACCAAAAAAUGAUCAUCGUAUACAACUGAUUCUGCAUAGCAAUCAACACUAAUGUCAUUCUAGUUGUGGAACGUCAGAGAAUCCAGUAUCGUUCAUAACGUCAAAUAUAUAUUUUAAAAAAAAAUUACCUCUUCCGUAAAUUUUAAAUACAAAAAAAAGAUGAAACUCAUGAUAAUUUAGUCGAAAAGAAACAUUGUUAAUUUAAUUAUCUGAGCUGUUGCUUUUUUUUCCUUGUUUUUUUAUAAUAAUUUUUUCAUUUUGUAUUCAACUUUUCGAGAUUUUAGUUGAAUACUGAAUUUUUGUUUUUGAAUAAUCACUGGGUAUAUAACACGUACUUCCAUCUUAUAUAAAAAAAAAAAAAAAACAAAUGAAAUAUUUAUUCUGUAAUGUGCAUUUCGUAAAUGUGCUUUAUUUAUUCUUUAUUAUUAUUAUUAUUACAUUAGAUUUAAAUAUAACUAUCCAAUUAAAAAAAAAUCAAUUGUUUGUUUUUUUUUUUUUCUUUUUUUGUCAUCUUGUGCUUAAUUUUCUUUGUCAUUCAUCAUUUAACUUGGUUUUUUUUCUUUUUUUUUUUUGUUUAUUUAUGAUUAUUUUUUAUUACGUCCUGGUGAUGAUGAUAUUGUUCAUUCAAGUUUGGGUCAUACCCAGUUAUUUAAUUUUGUGCUAUUUUCAGCAAAAUUGCAUUUUCUUUUUUUGUUUACUUAAUUUUUUUAUCGAAACACCGACGUGCAUAUGCGAAUUUAACCGAAUGAAUGAAGAUAUUAUA
RNAcentral lists this unclassified non-coding RNA (1821 nucleotides) under Aphidius gifuensis. Its description in RNAcentral is "serine/threonine-protein phosphatase PP1-beta catalytic subunit, transcript variant X1". The record is from RNAcentral. Lineage: Eukaryota; Metazoa; Arthropoda; Insecta; Hymenoptera; Braconidae.